CAACGCGAGUACGCGACCACGUUUCGAUUGUCAGGUAAGACCUCUCAACAUUUCAAUAUGACGUACCCAAAUAGCAGUUCACUACCGUUAAGUUUAAAUUGUGGUCGGUGAGAAGAAAACAGUAUUCCACUAUUGGUUAAGUAAGAAUUAUAGAUUUUCAGCAAAGAAUGUAGUAACAGUUAAAGUGUAGAAAUUAUCAUUGAGAUAGAGAGUAUAGUUUUGCAGUAAUUGAAUAAUAAAAUGUGAACUUAUGUUUUGGAGGAUAUCAGCCAGGGGUAAAUGGAGCCACUUGAACAGGUAUCAAACUCUUCUUGAGUAGUAAUUAUCUGGGAUGCAUCAUAGCAAUUUAAAUAUAAAAUUCCAAGUAAAUAGUGAUAGUUAUCCAAAAUAGCUACGUGGAUGUUAUGACAGUAAACCUCUCUUGAGUAAAACGGGAACCAUUCAGUGUCUUGCCAUGAAGAAGGAAAGGGUCCUGCUAGAGAAAAAUCUCAAUCACUUUUAUUUAUAUUGUGUCGGUCCCCUGCAUUUCAUGUUGUCUUUGUUUUUCAUUUGACUUAAAUUGAUAUUGGUAAGAAUAAUUUACUUAUAGUUUCCUCAGCGGCAUCAGUACCCUUAUGUAAUAACCCCAAAAGUUUCCCUCUGUUACUGACUCAAAUAUCAGAUGAAUCUUCUAUAGUCAAUUUUCUUCAGCACGAGCAACAAUAUUAAAUGGACUUAGACCAUGGAGGCAUGGACUACUUUAUUUUAAUGGACUGGACUCUUGUAGGAAUGGCAUGAUAAAAAAAAAACAGUCAGAAUUAUGGAGCUUCAGUUUUGGCCAUUGUAAGUUUCUUCAACAUGCUGGUAGAUCUCGAGAAGUAGCAGUACUGCUGACAGGGAACGUCAUUGAUGGCAAUGGAUAUAGGAAUGAGUUUUGAGAUCCAGGAAAACAGUGAAAUUCUCUUGCUCAAUGCUACCCCUUGGGCUAGUAGUUUAAACAUUUGUGAAACAAGAUCUUUCGUGUUUACACAUGUGUUCCGACCCUAGGUAAAGGUUUUUUGGAUAGUGGAUUUUGCCAAAAAUCGACCAAAAUCAUUUUGACUAGAAUGAAGAAUUUAAUUUUGUGUGAGGCACUGCGGAGUGUAGACAAGAAAAGCGGAACUUAAGCUACUGUGGCCUCAUAUUAUUCUCUUUACCCGCGGAAAAGCCCAGUGAAGAAGGAACAGUAAAGUCAAGAGGUUUCCAAGCUGGCUACACCACAUUCGACACCUAAGAAAAACGAACAGCAAUCUGAAUUGGAUAGGAUGGCGGAAAAGAAGAAUUGAUUGCUCGAACAUGAAAUGUCGAUCAGAAAGAAUCAUCUUCAGAGACUGCGAAAUCAUCGGCAGUUCCAGACGAAUCCGUUAGUCCCGAAUGUCGAUAUCUAGCAACACGAUCUAAUGUGUUGACUUGAGUGUUGACUCGAACUUCAGGGACCAAGUGUGGUGUUGUUUACGACUUUACGCACAUACAGACUAGUCUUAUGUCCAAUUUUGUUUUUUCAAUUGAAAAAAAAAUGGCAAAAAACAGUCCUUCGGUUCGGGUAUAUGUACCUUGCGUCCUUGCUAACGCAGCUGACAGUCGUACCGUCUGUAUAGAUGCUAAGGGCUGUCACUAGAUGGAUAAAUAUUUCAGUGUGUUUAGGGAUUGAACUAUUCAGCCCUUGACUGUUGGUAAGGACCGUAUAUCAUUUUCAUUUCAUGAUCACAUGUUCAUGCGUCACACGUUAGUCUUUGCGGGGUACUUUCUUUCCUCACUCUUUUCCUCAUAAAAGGUAACAUAGCCUUCAAUUUAUGCUUGGCACUUCCAUCUGAUCACGUGGCCUUUACAUUUUCCCAAAAUGUCGUCUCUUGCUGCACGUACCGCCUUUUCGUUUCGUCACAUGCAGCAACAAUCCAGGACAGUAAAACAAUUGAGUUUUUUUCUCCAAGUAGGAAUACAGCCUUUUAAGGUAGGAGCCUCUAAGUUCAAUGUGCAUUGUUGCAGUUGCAGUCAGCUGGCAGGUAGUCGUCUUGCAGGUUUGCUUGCUAUCUGUACAGUGUACCUUUCGUCACAUGCAGCAACCCUUCAGAACAGUUUAAAAUAAUGGAGUUGGUCUGGUUUUUAUGUAGGAAUACAGCCUGUUAAGGUCUGAGCUCUCAGUAGGAUGUGCACACGGAUUUGUUGCAGACAUCUGGCAAAAGGUGUUCUUCUUGCUGGCUUGCUUGCUUCUUGUACAGUUUGUAGCUCUCGUCACAUUCAGAAAUACUUCAGAACAAUUUAAAGUUAAACCAUGCUGUCAUUUUGUUCAUGUCACACAUGACUUUAUUUUCUGAUAGUUAUUGAGUUUUUUCUCCAAGUAGGAAUACAACCUCUUAAGGUCGGAGGCUUCAAGCCUCUUGAUAGCAGUCCAAUGUGCAGAUGACUAGGUGCAGCCAGCUGGUGUACGGUGUGGUGACAGGUGAGCUGUUCAUGCAGACUAGUGCUGAUGUUGAGUGUAAAAUUCUGUCUACCAGGUGGUGAAGUGUCUUUCCGUUAGUGAGAAUGAGGUGACGAAAUCCCGCCAAUUGCUUUUAAUACAGUGGACUGGGAUAUGUUGCUGACGGUAUUUUUCGAUUCUACAUUUAAGAACGAUUGAGGUAUUCCGACACCCUUCGACCAAGCUGAAUCGAAAGUGAACAACUUUAAAGCAGGUUUAUCGAAGAUCAUGCAUUUCUCCACGUGGUCGCUGCCGUGUCAUGUAGAUGCGUCUUUGAGAGGGUUUUUCCUAUAUUGUAAGACAAUAUUGUGAUGAAAACAGGAAAUUAUGUUGCUUUAUAGUUGUCGGGCAUAUUUUAUCGGCUGCUUUGUGUCGAUAUGUUAUUUUCUGCUACCUGUACCGGUUUUGAGUCAAUCGCUCGCCGCCGUUCCAUUGCUGAAACUGAAGAGACUGCUGAAAUUCAAGAGAAUGCUGAAAUUUAAAGACUGAUAAAUUAUGUAGAUGAUUUUAAGUGCAUAUCUGUACUUCUUCUCCCCAUUUUCUUUAGUAAGCAGUAACCAACCUCCCCCCCCUCGUUCUAGCUGGUUAAUCACCAGCUGUGAUAAUGCGGUAAGACGCAUGAUUUGUGGGAAAUUUGGAGGGUUAUGAGGGAAACUAUUCUAUGAUUAUUUGCUCCCUUAAUAUUUGUUUCAGAACUCCACUUUUACAAUUCUACUGCAAGGUCUGUCCUAUAAUUAUUUGCUCCUUAACCCAUAACAAUCACAACUCUGUAAACUGUUGUCCUACAAAACCUUACCUGAUAUUUAUAUAUCUAAUUACUAUUCAAUAACAUACCCACAACAAAUAAAACCUUAAAUGUUAUAAAUUAUCAUGAGUUUUAUAUUGAAAUAAAAACAAUGAAUAAUUUUAUUCAA
RNAcentral lists this long non-coding RNA (3390 nucleotides) under Daphnia pulex (common water flea). Its description in RNAcentral is "uncharacterized LOC124193118, transcript variant X10". The record is from RNAcentral. Lineage: Eukaryota; Metazoa; Arthropoda; Branchiopoda; Diplostraca; Daphniidae.